Molecule: long non-coding RNA, 765 nt
Organism: Gadus macrocephalus (Pacific cod)
Lineage: Eukaryota; Metazoa; Chordata; Actinopteri; Gadiformes; Gadidae
Exons: 2
Source: RefSeq, a predicted model, not a curated record
UGUGUUGCCAUAGUGAUUGUAUUCAGUAGCAUAUGGAAUAUACCGCAUCCCUACCAAUGCUGUUAAAAUCGGCCUCUGUUACACUUUUGUGUUCGGCUGCGCCAGUUUGUAAUGCAUGUCUGACAUUAACACUUUAAACUUGAAUGCAAACUCUUUGACCGGAUCUGUGUUUGGACUUUCCUGGAAAAAUCAUUCCCGGUCAAAUAAAUCAGCUGAAAUCGUUCUGGGUGGAUAAGAAGCCCUUAUGAUGUUCUUGCUGUUUAAAAUUGGUAUUUAAUCGGCAAAAGCCUUUCAUUGUUUUUGUGAGAGAGGGUAGGCGGAAUUCCCCAAUGUUUGACAAGUUUUACAAUAAUGGCCAGCAAGGAACAUCCCUUCAUAAAAAAACGGAAAGUAUAAUGAAUAACAGAAUAGCGAUGCUGGGAUAUUCCUGAUGAAUUAGCGAUGUGACACUGUAUCUAAAGAGGCGAUCACCCCGGGCAGUCCCAGUAAGUCUAGCAGUGUUCACCUGCCCAGGAGACCAAAAAUGCCCAGAAGGAAAAUUCUGCCGACCUCAGGUCCAUAGGUCCUGCCAGUGGUUUGCCCACAUUGAAACAUGAAUGCUGUCCACACACUAUGCAAUUGGUUCAGAAUGCGUCCCUACAUGACAGUUAAUUCAUCCUGCCCUGGUCGGAAGCUAAUGGUGGCAUUGACUCGACUACCGUGACCUAGGCCUCGAUCACGUACCUUCAAUAUUGCUCAUAUAAUACUAAUGAUAUACGGUAAAAA